RNAcentral lists this ribosomal RNA (236 nucleotides) under Phaeomonas parva. Its description in RNAcentral is "partial Bacterial small subunit ribosomal RNA". It matches the Rfam family "Bacterial small subunit ribosomal RNA", at positions 1222 to 1465 of the family's 1533-position model. The record is from RNAcentral. Lineage: Eukaryota; Pinguiophyceae; Pinguiochrysidales; Pinguiochrysidaceae.
GUGCUACAAUGGUCGGUACAAAGGGUUGCCAAGCCGCGAGGUGGAGCUAAUCCCAUAAAACCGAUCGUAGUCCGGAUCGCAGUCUGCAACUCGACUGCGUGAAGCUGGAAUCGCUAGUAAUCGCGCAUCAGCCAUGGCGCGGUGAAUACGUUCCCGGGCCUUGUACACACCGCCCGUCAAGCCAUGGAAGCUGGGGGUGCCUGAAGUCGGUAACCGCAAGGAGCUGCCUAGGGUAA